RNAcentral lists this ribosomal RNA (499 nucleotides) under uncultured Glomeromycotina. Its description in RNAcentral is "partial small subunit ribosomal RNA". It matches the Rfam family "Eukaryotic small subunit ribosomal RNA", at positions 591 to 1092 of the family's 1831-position model. Lineage: Eukaryota; Fungi; Glomeromycota. The record is from RNAcentral.
CCAAUAGCGUAUAUUAAAGUUGUUGCAGUUAACAAGCUCGUAGUUGAAUUUCGGGACCAAUAUGUCGGUCGUGCCUCGGUACGUACUGGUGUCAUUGGUUUCUCCCUUCUGAGGAUCCUUGAUGUCAUUAAUUUGGUGUCUUGGGGAAUCAGGACUGUUACCUUGAAAAAAUUAGAGAGUUUAAAGCAGGCAUACGCUUGAAUACAUCAGCAUGGAAUAAUGAAAUAGGACGUUCGAUUCUAUUUUGUUGGUUUCUAGGAUCGCAGUAAUGAUGAAUAGGGAUGGUUGGGGGCAUUAGUAUUCAAUUGUCAGAGGUGAAAUUCUUGGAUUUAUUGAAGACUAACUACUGCGAAAGCAUUUGCCAAGGAUGUUUUCAUUAAUCAAGAACGAAAGUUGGGGGAGCGAAGACGAUCAGAUACCGUCGUAGUCUUAACCAUAAACUAUGCCGACUAGGGAUCGGAUGAGGUUAAUUUUUUAAUGACUCAUUCGGCGCCUUACG